GCAGACGACCUUUUUGGGUUUAUUCAGUUAGAAAAUGUGUUUCUAGAGGACACUUUGUAUUCCCGGUGAGCAAGCAUGGGAACUCUCCCAAAUAUCGAUGUAUUAGGGCUCACAAGAAAACCCACUGGAACUAAAGGAAAUGCUCUGGUCACUUCUAGUAGUGACAGCCCAGUGAAAGCUGUUAUAUCAAAAUGUUUUCUUCCUCAGAUCUUUUAUAAGCUUUGUUUGAACGAACGCGGCUCUUGAAGCCACCUUCUCUUUGCAUGUAUCAGCUGAGUCUGUCCUCUUGUUGCUGUGGGUAGUAAUUGCUCUAGUUACUGUUCACAAAGGAUCAUCAUUUUGAAGGACAGUCCUGUUUGCUGGUGACAGUGAGUGGUGGGGAGCCACUUACUUGGUUUCCCACAAGUGACGAGUGCAUCCUAAGGAAAGUAGCCCAAACUGGAACCUGUUGUGUCUUUGAAAUGCGAUCACCCCCUUGAACUGUAGCUGAAUGUCCCAUAAAGGUUACAGAUCUCCCAUCUGCCUCCGUUUAGGAUUUAUCUUGGCUGAAAAAACAGACGACAGGAUAAUCGCCCUGGCUGAGAUGCCAGACUCCCACAUCAGCCUGCUGCUUUGCUCUGACUUGCCUCGCUCACCGCCGAGCUCAACUGACCCAAAGCCGCCUUUGCGCUAUAUCUAGCCCAGAUAGGUGGCCGGCUGUCAUCACCCGUGGGUGCAGUCACACCCUUGCCCCUCAUGUGAAUGAGCUGUAUCUUAAAGCAGAAGUGAAAACUGCUAUGGGAGUUAAGGGUGUGGUUGUGGUGUUUUGUUUAUUUAAAAAACAAAACAAAACAAAAAAGCUUUUUCCCCCCUACAAGUUGGGAAUCACAGAUCCAGAGAAAAUGUCAUCUCCGUUACGUGCCCCUCUGAGCACAGUCAGCUGGGUAACUGGGGAAAGAAAACCCAGAUACAGAUGAAGCUGAGAAAACAAUGAGUAAAUGCUGCCAGGGAAAGGUUGUUCUGGUUUUAAGAGUAUAGCCAGGGUUAAGAGCUCAGCUGUCCCGGCUGUGGAUAAACAGAAGCUGGCCGUGCUGUUCUCUGAUGCUGUUUUCACAUUAAUAUCUAGCUAUUAGCACUUCCUGGAUGUGAUCACAUUCUUUGAAGCCGUUCUCCUUUUCCAGCAAGUUCAGAAGAUAAUUUUAGCUCUGGUUAGUGCUAUAAUUAAAUAACUGAGUCUCGAGCUGAAGCAGCAGAUGCCACCUUUGCCAAUCUUUUUCCACUGCUUAUCUUGGGACACCACUCCCAAGGACAUGCAUGCUUGUGAGGGCACCACGGAGUUGUCCCUGCUGAGCAUCUCCUGGUGUCCAGCCUUGGUGCCUAGGGACAUGACAUGGCCUGUGUGAGUCACACUUUUAGCUGUGCUAAACGGUUCUCCAGGGGAGAUGGGGUGUUAGAAGUAGGAUUAGGGUGGUUGGGCACUGGAACAGGCUCCCCAGGGCAGGGUCAUGGCACUGAGCCUGAUGGACUUCAAGAAGUGUUUGGACAACGCUCUGAGACAUAGGCUCUGAUUUUUCGGUGGUGCUGUGUGGAGCCAGGGGUUGGACUCCAUGAUCCUUGAGGGUCCCCUUCCAGCUUGGGAUAUUCUGUGAUCCCAUGAUUCUAAGAAGAUGCAGUUUACGUCAGCAUCCAUGGCUUGUCUUCUGGGCCACCUUGAUGUUCCUACUGAGAAAGCAUAAAUCGAACUAAUUCAACAAGCCUAUUCUCAGCCAGGGCAGCCUGUGAGGAAUUUCCCUUUUUGUGGGACCAACAGGAGAGAAGAAUCAGUGGUGGAUAGUGCAAGCGAGUACAUCACCAACACGCAGGCAGACGCUGCUCUCCACCUGGGGAGAUGCUCCGGGAUCAGGAUGCUCUGCUUCGGGAGCGCUCCGGUAUCACCCAGGCUCUGGGUUACAUCGUGGGCAUGAGCUGAAGUAAAUGCAGCAGCCACGGCGUCCCCAGCAGCCGAGCCUUUAUGGAGAGGGGAGUGGAGGAGCAGGGAACAUUGUUUUGACGUUUUAAUGGAGUGAGGAUGAAAUGUUUGGUUUAUGACAGGGAGGGUGGUGGUGAUUUCAGGCACUGCUGUUGCUGCUCUUGCAAGCUGUUUGGAAGAAAGCCUUAGCACAGACCUCCACAUAGUGCUGAAGGAAAAAAAACAACUUCCUAAGCCAAUAUUUUAGGGGAGAAGAGGCCAUCUAAUGAGGGUAAUGGGGAAACCCACUGCUUGGUGCUAUGCUGGCUUUGAGCGACAAGUUUCUCUCUGGAUUUUAGAGGAACAGUUUAAAUGUGCCAUGUUUUUUAGCACGACAAGAUGCACUGCAGAUAUGUCACAUCCAUUUCAUUCCCCACAGCUGUUUACAAAAGAAAAAUAAAUAAAUAAACCCCCUGAGACUGGAGCAGCUGCAGUCACUCAGCUGUCAAUAUGGGACAAGCCUCUUUCUGCUCUGCUUUUAUUUCCACUUCACUCUGUUCUUCUGCACAUAUUUGGCUCUUCUGUGCAUUUUCAGAUUGAGUUGUUUUUUUUUUUUGCCCAACUGCCUUUGAUCUAUACAGAAAGUCUCACUCAGAUCCCAUUUGAAUUCAUUAAUACAUUGAGUAGGUAUUUUAAUUCUAUGUUUACUGACUUGUUUCCCUUUGUAAUGUUAUCUAACUGACAAGUUCUCCGUACUCUGCCUUAUGUUUAGUUUUUUUUUCAAGUCUAAAAUGUUUCCUCUUUCCUGAAAAGCUAUGAUAGUUUUCAGAGAAGUUAUAAAGGUGUUUUCAUUUCCACAGAAGAGAAACUGACUUACUCUCAGCUUUGAUUACUAACAAAUCAAUACUGAAGCACGUAAUUCUUUUUACACCAUGAACAAAGUGCAUUUUAUACCAUCAUCUGUAGCCUGAAUUGUAGUUUAGAAGCCUGCUUAGGCACUAAAAGCAACAUUUUGUUUGCAACUUCCAUGCCAGUGAAGUCACAGCAUUAAAGGAAUUUCCUGGACUGGAGUUUUUCCCACAUAUUCAGCUGUUUUGCAAAGACCUGCUGUAUUUUCCCCAACAACUGUGAAUUUAGCACAAUGUACAGAACUCUAGCAAGAACCCCGGUUGCCUAAACGUCCUAAACACAGGGCCAAAAGGAUGAGGAGUGGACACGUUUUGUGAUGACCAAGCACAAAUGUUUCAGUGGAGAAAAUGCCCUACGUUUGGUCAGACCAUUUAUCUCGAGUUGCUGGGAUAGUGCUGUCUUUGGAAAGGGUAUAGGUGUUAGCAAAUCGCCAAACUGUGAACCACAGACUGUCAGAAGCAUUGGACCUGCCUUUUUUUUUUUUUUUUUUUUUUUCUCUAAGUUCCUGUUGUCAAGUGUGGUGCAGUGGGGUUGAGAAAGGAAUGUAUUUUGGAUGACCAGGAUGAUGAAUGUAUGAUGCUUCAUGUUUAUUUGUAAUGUCCUUUUUAUACUUAGAAAUUGCUCACAUAUGUAUCUGUAUGUAAAUAAAUGUUUAAUCCUUUCCA
Molecule: long non-coding RNA, 3501 nt
Organism: Oxyura jamaicensis (ruddy duck)
Lineage: Eukaryota; Metazoa; Chordata; Aves; Anseriformes; Anatidae
Exons: 3
Source: RefSeq, a predicted model, not a curated record